GACGACUAUGACUGGUUAAAUAUGGAUUAGCAAUCACUUCAGGGUGUCGGGUCAGGACAGCAAUUAUUCAUUCAGUGUCGUAAAAGUGAACUACACUCAAGCAACUCAAUGACACAAAAAGAAAACAAGCGUUUCAGAGACAGUCUUUUGUACACUGCUAGUAGCACAGGAUACAUUUCUUGGCGUCUGAAAACAGUCCAAAGGAAAAUUCGGCGUGGAUCUGAGGCGCCACCAAGUAGCUCUUUGAACCUUUCUUCAGGAGGCCCAAAGUUCCAAAGGAUUGUCAAUGUCGACAAUCAGCUUGAUGGGGAUGCUUGUCAAGAGGCAGUAUCUUUGCUCAACCAUACCACAGACAAUUCCGUGAUUCUCCAGAAGAUGAGAGAGACAUUUCAGCACCGUCAGAAGCUUGUUAAUGACCCAGGUACAAGUGCUGAUAUCCUCUCCAUCUUCCCAAGAUUCCUCGAUACAAAAGGAUUGGUAAGUUUGGAAUGAGAUGUUUGGAGCAGCCUGACAUUUGAAAGUAUUUCCUUCGGUGGUAGUUAAAUAUCUUCUUUCUUAAAGGUGGAGCAAGACUUCAUUCUCCUAUUUGAUGAUGAGACAUCCUCCAGGCUGCUUCAGAAGUGGGAUGUGUUCUUCAAACCAAACAUCAUAAAAGAGGCUAAGCGACUUACUUCAGCACCAGAGUUGCGGCGCUUGUUACAGUCAGCAGAAUGUUCCAUUGGAAGUGAUGAGGCAACAUCUUACGACCAUGAAAUGGCCUCCCUGUUGUUGCUCAUACAUCUCCUUCCACCACCACCAGGAGGACCGAAGUCUCCAAAAAUCAGUGCAUGUGAUGCCAUUGAGAGACUUGUUGUCUUUCAUAAG
This is a long non-coding RNA of Nerophis ophidion (straightnose pipefish), 864 nucleotides long. RefSeq lists it as uncharacterized. The record is from RefSeq and is a predicted model, not a curated record. The transcript has 3 exons. NCBI's taxonomy places the organism in Eukaryota, Metazoa, Chordata, Actinopteri, Syngnathiformes, Syngnathidae.